This is a long non-coding RNA of Dendroctonus ponderosae (mountain pine beetle), 518 nucleotides long. RefSeq lists it as uncharacterized. Lineage: Eukaryota; Metazoa; Arthropoda; Insecta; Coleoptera; Curculionidae. The record is from RefSeq and is a predicted model, not a curated record. The transcript is spliced from 3 exons.
UUAAUUAGUUUAACUGUCAAAUCGUUUUGAUAUAUUUUAGCUUCAAAUGAAAGUGACAACGAUUGUAUUUCUGUCAAUUCGAAGAAAAGAACAGCUAAAAAUAUAAAACCCAGGAGGUCGAUUACACAAGUGGGGUUUGAUUCCGAUGAAGAAUGUGAUCGCAAUCUUAGUGGUCUUGCUGUAAAACGGAAGGCAAAAAGUUAAAAAAAUCCUGCAGUUACAAAAAAUGAAGUCAAUGCUUUAGAGAAAGAUUUCGCUUCAUACAUAAAGAGGAAAAUAUAUCCAUCAGGCGCUCAAAUAAAAUCUUUCAUGCAGAAGAAUAAUAUGAAACGAACUGUUGCAGUGGUAAAGUCUAAGUUGCAACAUUUACUGAAACUUUCGAAUAAGAAGUAGAAGUUUUACGAUUUUUUUCCAACUUUAUAUCUAAAUAUACAUUAUGAAGUGACAAUUUUAUUUCAGAAUUUCAAUAUUUUGUGCUCAAUGUUUUGUUCAAUAAAGUAUUCUACAACUGAGUGUAA